UCUUGAAAAAAGUAUUCAAUAUCUAAGUCCGGCGAAACCGACAUUCCGGUCAGACAUGCAAACCUCGGCUACAAAAAAAAAAAAUACGCCCGUUUUUAUUCAUCCUGUUCAUUUAAUGCUAAAUAAUUUUGUUGGAAAUUUUAGUUUCUAAUAGCAAAAAGGUUGUUUUAAUCCAGAUACGGCCAGAACUGAGUUUUGCUUAAGGCAAGAUUCAGAGUCAUUUUUUU
Molecule: long non-coding RNA, 227 nt
Filed under: Mytilus galloprovincialis (Mediterranean mussel)
Lineage: Eukaryota; Metazoa; Mollusca; Bivalvia; Mytilida; Mytilidae
Source: RNAcentral